AAAACAAUGAAAAAUAAAUCUUUGACCUUUGGUAUUGUGACUCCACCCAACAGACACACUCAGAUCUCCUGCUGCUUUCAUGAAGAGGAACCUUAACAUGCAGGAAACUUUACAGAGUCAGUGGAGGAGAUCAAACUGUUCAGAUCAAUCAUGGAUAAAACACAAACAUCUGGAGAUGAAGAUUUGUUUCCGGGAUACAGUUCAGUUCAGCAGAGGAGAUCAGAAGCAGAGCCCAGCCAUGUGUCUAUGAAGAGUGACGCAUCUAUGAUUCAGCCAGUAAAGUUUAAGAGUGGAGAUACAAGACCUGGACUCAGUUUAGUUCAUCAGAAGAGAUCAGAAGCAGAGCCCAGCCAUGUGUCUAUGAAGAGUGACACGUCUAUGAUUCAGCCAGUAAAGUUUAAGAGUGGAGAUACACGGCCUGGUCUCAGCUCAGGUCAAUGGAAGAGAUCAGAAGCAGAGCCCAGCCAUGUGUCUAUGAAGAGUGA
This is a long non-coding RNA of Cyprinus carpio (common carp), 485 nucleotides long. NCBI's taxonomy places the organism in Eukaryota, Metazoa, Chordata, Actinopteri, Cypriniformes, Cyprinidae. The record is from Ensembl.